CCUACGGGAGGCAGCAGUGGGGAAUAUUGGGCAAUGGGCGCAAGCCUGACCCAGCAAUGCCGCGUGAAGGAAGAAGGCUUUCGGCUCGUAAACUUCUUUGACAGGGGAAGAGCAGAAGACGGUACCCUGAAGACAAGCCACGUCUAACCACGUGCCCGCAGCCGCGGUAAUACGUAGGUGGCGAGCGUUGUCCGGAUUUACUGGGUGUAAAGGGCGUGUAGCCGGGAAGGCAAGUCAGAUGUGAAAGCUGGAGGCUCAACCUCCAGAUUGCUUUUGAAACUGUUUGUCUUGAGUACAGGAGAGGCAGGCGGAAUUCCUUGUGUAGCGGUGAAAUGCGUAGAUAUAAGGAGGAACACCAGUGGCGAAGGCGGUCUGCUGGACAGCAACUGACGGUGAGGCGCGAAAGCGUGGGGAGCAAACAGGAUUAGAUACCCUUGUAGUC
RNAcentral lists this ribosomal RNA (442 nucleotides) under uncultured bacterium. RNAcentral's name for it is "partial 16S ribosomal RNA". It matches the Rfam family "Bacterial small subunit ribosomal RNA", at positions 338 to 795 of the family's 1533-position model. The record is from RNAcentral.